Alosa sapidissima (American shad) is the source of this 80-nucleotide long non-coding RNA. RefSeq lists it as uncharacterized. Lineage: Eukaryota; Metazoa; Chordata; Actinopteri; Clupeiformes; Clupeidae. The transcript is spliced from 3 exons. The record is from RefSeq and is a predicted model, not a curated record.
GUAGGCCUACUUCUGUAGCACACGCAUUCUCACCAGCAAAGACCUGUCACCUGUCAUUCAUCAUCGUAUGGGAGGUUUUU